CAGAUAUAUGUAUGCCAAAGCACCGAUGAGUCAUAAUGCACCCAAAACACACUCUCACACACUCGGAAACCUAAAAGUUCACCACACUGAGACAUAUUAACACACACCUUCCAGUGUGCCAGCACACAAGACUGCAGUCUGUGUGGGAGGGAUAGAAUGGGGGUGGGGAUGUGCUGUGUGUGGAAAUGGGAGUGUGUGUGUGUGUGUGUGCGUGCGUGCGUGUAUGAUUGGGUCUGUGUGUGUGUGUGUUCAUGUGUAGGGGCUGGCAGCCUUUCACACAUGCUCAGGUGGGACCACACAGCAGGGGGGCAGGAAGUGAGGACACAGGAAGUGACCCGGUGGCAGACCCCCCCCCCCCAAAAAAAAAACACAUC
Anguilla rostrata (American eel) is the source of this 374-nucleotide long non-coding RNA. RefSeq lists it as uncharacterized. The transcript has 2 exons. The record is from RefSeq and is a predicted model, not a curated record. Lineage: Eukaryota; Metazoa; Chordata; Actinopteri; Anguilliformes; Anguillidae.